Molecule: long non-coding RNA, 399 nt
Filed under: Mytilus galloprovincialis (Mediterranean mussel)
Lineage: Eukaryota; Metazoa; Mollusca; Bivalvia; Mytilida; Mytilidae
Source: RNAcentral
GAGGCUAUACGUUGGAUUUCACACGGCAAGCCGGGUAAGUGAUUUUUUUUCUCUCCUCUCAAUUUGUCUCCUUUCAAGACUGCUCUGCCGUGUAUGCCGUUUUUUGCACGUCUCUGUAUUUGUUUCACAGCUGCGAUUUAUAUCAUGGAAUAAGACUGCCCUUUUCUUUUCAGACGAAAUGAUAUUCCCCGCUUUUGCCGAAAUUAUAGUUUUUGUAUGCAUGAUUUGCCCGUGAAUUUCGUUUGACUCCAAAUUUCUGCGGACCCAUCCCGCUGUGCGAUUUAUUUAAUUUUUUGUGUAGGGCAGUUUUUAUUUUUCAAUGGAAAUAUCAAAUUCUGCUUGUUUUAUAAAUUAUAUCUGAAACUUGUUUAAUUUGAUACACAUUUUGUAAAGAAAUGC